GCCGCAGUAGCUCAACCUGGGAGAGCAUUCCGCUGAAGACGGAAGGGUUGCAGAUUCAAAUCCUGCCUGCGGCA
Molecule: transfer RNA, 74 nt
Filed under: Microcaldota archaeon
Lineage: Archaea; Nanobdellati; Microcaldota
Also listed under: 1 other name
Description: tRNA-Phe
Rfam family: tRNA
About the family: Transfer RNA (tRNA) molecules are approximately 80 nucleotides in length. Their secondary structure includes four short double-helical elements and three loops (D, anti-codon, and T loops). Further hydrogen bonds mediate the characteristic L-shaped molecular structure. tRNAs have two regions of fundamental functional importance: the anti-codon, which is responsible for specific mRNA codon recognition, and the 3' end, to which the tRNAs corresponding amino acid is attached (by aminoacyl-tRNA synthetases). tRNAs cope with the degeneracy of the genetic code in two manners: having more than one tRNA (with a specific anti-codon) for a particular amino acid; and 'wobble' base-pairing, i.e. permitting non-standard base-pairing at the 3rd anti-codon position.
Source: RNAcentral